ACGGGUGAGUAACGCGUGGGUAACCUGCCUUGUACUGGGGGACAACAGUUAGAAAUGACUGCUAAUACCGCAUAAGCGCACAGUAUCGCAUGAUACAGUGUGAAAAACUCCGGUGGUACAAGAUGGACCCGCGUCUGAUUAGCUAGUUGGUAAGGUAAGGGCUUACCAAGGCGACGAUCAGUAGCCGACCUGAGAGGGUGACCGGCCACAUUGGGACUGAGACACGGCCCAA
RNAcentral lists this ribosomal RNA (232 nucleotides) under uncultured bacterium. RNAcentral's name for it is "partial 16S ribosomal RNA". It matches the Rfam family "Bacterial small subunit ribosomal RNA", at positions 102 to 334 of the family's 1533-position model. The record is from RNAcentral.